This is a long non-coding RNA of Bubalus bubalis (water buffalo), 1525 nucleotides long. RefSeq lists it as uncharacterized. Lineage: Eukaryota; Metazoa; Chordata; Mammalia; Artiodactyla; Bovidae. The record is from RefSeq and is a predicted model, not a curated record. The transcript is spliced from 2 exons.
ACCAAGGAGACUGGCGGGCUAUGGUCCAUGCAGUCCCAGGGAGUUGGACACGGCUGAAGCGACUUAGAACGCGUGCAUAACAAGUUCACAGCUAACAUCAUCCUCAAUGGUGAAAGGCUGAAAGCUUUUUCUUUAAUAUCAGGAACAAGGCUGCCCUCUCUAGCCACUCCUAUUCAACAUAGUAUCAGAAGUCUUAGCCAGAGCAAUAAGGAAAGAGAAGGAAAUAAAGGGCAUACACAUUGGAAAGGAAGAAGAAAAAUUGUCUAUGUUUCAGAUGAUAUGAUCCUGUAUGAUAGGAUAGAACAUGCUAAAGACACCACCAAGGAACUGAUAAACAAACUCAGUAAAGUUGCAGGAUAUAAUAUUAACCACAGAAAUCAUGUAGGAGAGUUCUAUACAUUAACAGUGAAAUAUCUGAAAGAGAAACAAAGAAAACAAUCCCACUUACAAGAGCAUCGAAAACAGCAAGACAUUUAGGAAUCAAUUUAACCAAAGAGGUGAAAGAUUUGUACACUGCAAGCUGUAAGAUUGAUAAAAGAAAUUGAAAACACAAAUAAAUGGAAAGAUAUGUGUUUAUGGGUCAGAAGAUUUAGUACUGUUUAAAAUGUCUGUAUUGCCCAAAGCCGUCUAUAAAUCUAAUGCAAUCCUUAUCAAAAUUCCAAUGCCAUUUUUUAUAGAAGUAGAAAAAAACAAUCCUAAAAUUCAUAUGAAACUGCAAAAGACCCCAAAUGUAAUAGGGAACUUUGUAUUCUACUACAAAGGGACGUUGCCUAUAAGAUUGUUAUAAGUGACGGCCCUUCUUUGAGAACGUUGCCUCCCAGCUAAUGAGCAUUAAGCUAAAACACCUUUGCUAGUUUCACAAGUAACAUCCUGACCAGGCUCACCUGUGACUGAGAGCAGGGAGGCUUAUGGGAACCAGGAAGUGUUUGACUUUACUCCUCCCCUUUAGUAUAAAAGAAGCCUGACUUCUAAGUCAGGCAAGCUGGUUCUUUGGGAUACAAGCCUAUCGUCUUCUUGGUCUGCUGGCUUUGUGAAUAAAGUCGUCAUUGCUCCCCUCUCCACUCCGGUACCCAUCUCUCCAUUUAAUGGCCUGUCAUGCGGCAAGUUGUUUGAGCUUGGACUCAGUAGUGGGUUUUGGCCCAGCCAGCCAGGAGUCUUGCUGUCUUGGUUAGCCAACCCGCUGGGCCCAAGCAACUCCCGAGGCCUAUCCUGAGAAUCCCCCCUUCACAGUUCUUCAAAGUGGCCCUGGCUGUCCCAGCGCUUGGCGGUUGGAGCAAGGAGCUGACGGGCUUCAUACAGUAGGAAACAUCCUGACCAGGCCCACUGCGAUGAUGCAGGAAGGAAGAAAUGAACACAUCCCUCUGGAGGCCGAUGGGAGCCAGGAAAUGUUUGACUUGACUCCCUUCCUUUUCUGCUAUAAAAGAAACCUGAAUUCUAACUCAGGCAUGAUGGUUCUUUGUGGCAUGAAUCCACUAUUUUCUUGGUCUGUUGGCUCUCUGAAUAAAGCUGCUAUUCAUUACUCCAA